RNAcentral lists this ribosomal RNA (237 nucleotides) under Klebsiella pneumoniae. RNAcentral describes it as "partial 16S ribosomal RNA". It matches the Rfam family "Bacterial small subunit ribosomal RNA", at positions 345 to 574 of the family's 1533-position model. Lineage: Bacteria; Pseudomonadati; Pseudomonadota; Gammaproteobacteria; Enterobacterales; Enterobacteriaceae. The record is from RNAcentral.
GAGGCAGCAGUGGGGAAUAUUGCACAAUGGGCGCAAGCCUGAUGCAGCCAUGCCGCGUGUGUGAAGAAGGCCUUCGGGUUGUAAAGCACUUUCAGCGGGGAGGAAGGCGUUAAGGUUAAUAACCUUGUCGAUUGACGUUACCCGCAGAAGAAGCACCGGCUAACUCCGUGCCAGCAGCCGCGGUAAUACGGAGGGUGCAAGCGUUAAUCGGAAUUACUGGGCGUAAAGCGCACGCAG